GAGGAUGGGAAUGGGAAAGACUGGAAUGAACCGGACAAGGUUUUCCUAUGUUCACAAAUGAAUACACAAGCAGUGAAACUCCACAUCAUGGACCACUACAGAAGGGGAAGUUAUACUCCAUGUAUGUAUAAUAUGUCAGAAUAUAUUCUAUUGUCAUGUGUAACUAAAAAGUACAAAUAAGACUUUUUUAAAAAGAGAUAACAGACCAUAGUCACAUGAGCAAUACAUUCAAUUAAUGAAAAAAUAAUUUAAAACUCUCCAAAAAGAAAUCUCCAGACCUACCUUAUGGUCAUCUGUAAUACAGAGAAUUCUACCUGAGGUUUAAAGAAAAAUUAUUAUCAACCAUACAAAAAUCUCUUCCAGAAAAUAAAAGAGAAUUAAAUACUUCCUAAUUCAUUUUAUGAAGUUUUAUUACCCUGAUACCAAAACAGAUGAAAAUAGUGUAAAAUAUGAAAACUGUGGACUAAGAAAGAUCUCUAUGAAUAUACACACAAAAUUCUUUAACAAAAUAUAGCAAAUUAUAGAAUUUAGCAAUAUAGAGAAUUAUACCCCCAGGAAUGCAAAACAGCUCAAAAUAAUUUUUUUUUUUGGACUAGAGAUUGAACCCAGGGCACUUUGCUCUUAAGCUACAUCUGUAGCCCUCUUUACUUCUUAAUUUUUUCUGUUUUGUUUUUGGUUUUUUGAGAUAGGGACUUACUCAGUUGGUUAGGCCUCACUAAAUUGCUGAGGCUGGCCUUGAACUUGCAAUCCUCCUGCCUCAGACUCCUAAACUGCUGGGAUUACAGGCAUGUGGCACCAUGCCCACCUACAGCUCAGUAGUUUUUUAAAAAUUAGUGUAGGGCUGGGGAUGUGGCUCAAGCGGUAGCGUGCUUGCCUGGCAUGCGUGCGGCCCGGGUUCAAUCCUCAGCACCACAUACAAACAAAGAUGUUGUGUCCGCCAAAAACUAAAAAAUAAAUAUUAAAAUUCUCUCUCUCUCUCUUAAAAAAAAAUCAGUGUAUUCUGGAUAUUUGCAGGAUAAAGGAGAAAAAUUACAUGGCCAUAUUAAUCAGUACAGAAAAAGCAUUUGGCAAAAUUAAAUGCCCCUUCAUAAUUAAAACAAAGCAAAUUAAAGAAACCUCUCAGAAAAACAAAAACAGGAACUUCCUUAGUAAAGCUCAUCUUUGAAAAAACCUGCAGCUAACAUCAGACUUGGUGGUGGAAGCCUGGACAUUCCCCAUGAGCCUGGGUACCUACGCCCCAUGCAGCAUGAUGCCUGAGGUACAGGGCUCUGUGGCAGGUCAGCAAGGAAGAAAUCAAACUUGCUACUUAAAGGUGGCAGGACCUCUAUGCCAAAAUCCUGAGAAAUCUUGUCAAAAACUCCCAGAGCGAAAAGCUAGUUCACUAAAUAAAGAUAAAUUUGCAAAAUGAUUUUAUGUAUGUAUAUUUUCCAUAUAAAGCAAUGAACACAUGGACACCAAAAUUAAACAUAUGAUACUAUUGAUAUCACUCAAGAGUGAAAUACUCAGGCAUAAAUUUAAAACAAAGCUUAUAGGGUUUGCAUGCUAGAGAUGACCCUGCACUGACAAAAGAAAUUAAAGAUCUUUAAUUAUAGUCACAGAUUUGAGAACGCAACACAGU
Molecule: long non-coding RNA, 1618 nt
Filed under: Marmota monax (woodchuck)
Lineage: Eukaryota; Metazoa; Chordata; Mammalia; Rodentia; Sciuridae
Source: RNAcentral